This 530-nucleotide ribosomal RNA is filed under the name Hymenoscyphus sp. Trtsf14 1530. RNAcentral describes it as "eukaryotic LSU rRNA". The stretch from base 181 to 334 matches the Rfam family "5.8S ribosomal RNA". Lineage: Eukaryota; Fungi; Ascomycota; Leotiomycetes; Helotiales; Helotiaceae. The record is from RNAcentral.
GUGAACCUGCGGAAGGAUCAUUACCGAGUUCACGCCCUCACGGGCAGAUCUCCCACCCUUGAAUACCCUACCUUUGUUGCUUUGGCGGGCCACGCUCGCGUGUCGGCCUCGGCUGACUGCGCCCGCCAGAGGACCCAAACUCUUUUGUUUAGUGAUGUCUGAGUACUAUAUAAUAGUUAAAACUUUCAACAACGGAUCUCUUGGUUCUGGCAUCGAUGAAGAACGCAGCGAAAUGCGAUAAGUAAUGUGAAUUGCAGAAUUCAGUGAAUCAUCGAAUCUUUGAACGCACAUUGCGCCCCUUGGUAUUCCGAGGGGCAUGCCUGUUCGAGCGUCAUUAUGACCACUCAAGCCUGGCUUGGUAUUGGGGUUCGCGGUCCCGCGGCUCUUAAAAUCGGUGGCGGCGCCAUCUGGCUCUAAGCGUAGUAAUCUUUCUCGCUACAGGGUCCCGGUGGAUGCUUGCCAGCAACCCCUUAUUUUUUAGGUUGACCUCGGAUCAGGUAGGGAUACCCGCUGAACUUAAGCAUAUCAAU